Molecule: ribosomal RNA, 253 nt
Filed under: uncultured bacterium
Lineage: Bacteria
Description: partial 16S ribosomal RNA
Rfam family: Bacterial small subunit ribosomal RNA
Source: RNAcentral
UACGAAGGGGGCUAGCGUUGUUCGGAAUUACUGGGUGUAAAGGGUUCGUAGGCGGUGCGGCAAGUCGGGAGUGAAAUCUCUGGGCUCAACCCAGAGGCUGCUUCCGAAACUGCUGUGCUUGAGUGUGAGAGAGGCUCGUGGAAUUGCAGGUGUAGCGGUGAAAUGCGUAGAUAUCUGCAGGAACACCCGUGGCGAAAGCGGCGCACUGGACCACAACUGACGCUGAGGAACGAAAGCUAGGGGAGCAAACAGG